This 464-nucleotide ribosomal RNA is filed under the name uncultured bacterium. Its description in RNAcentral is "partial 16S ribosomal RNA". It matches the Rfam family "Bacterial small subunit ribosomal RNA", at positions 28 to 507 of the family's 1533-position model. The record is from RNAcentral.
GACGAACGCUGGCGGCGUGCUUAACACAUGCAAGUCGUACGGUAAGGCCCUUUCGGGGGUACACGAGUGGCGAACGGGUGAGUAACACGUGAGUAACCUGCCCACAACUUUGGGAUAACGCUAGGAAACUGGUGCUAAUACUGGAUAUGUGCUACUGCUGCAUGGUGGGGGUUGGAAAGCUCCGGCGGUUGUGGAUGGACUCGCGGCCUAUCAGCUUGUUGGUGGGGUAGUGGCCUACCAAGGCGGCGAGGGGUAGCCCGCCUGGGAGGGUGACCGGCCACAAUAGGACUAAGGUACGGCCCAGAACCCUACCGGAGGCAACAGGUGGGAAUAUUGCAGAAUGGGGCCGAGCCAGAUGCAACAACCCCCGGUGCGGGAUGACCGGCUUUGGGGUAUAAACCGCUUUCAACGUGGACGGAGCCUUUUGUACGGUACCUGCAGAAGAAGCACCGGCUAACUACGUG